GAUGAACGCUGACAGAAUGCUUAACACAUGCAAGUCGAUGGGGAAGUGGUGCUUGCACCCUGGCAACCAUGGCGGACGGGUGAGUAACGCGUAAGGGACUUACCUGCAGGACUGGGAUAACAGGGGGAAACUCCUGACAAGACCGGAUAAUGUCAUGGAGCUGCAUGGCUUUAUGAUGAAAGGAGACGCCUGCGGAGAGCCUUGCGUCCUAUUAGCUAGUUGGUGAGGUAAUGGCUCACCAAGGCGAAGAUAGGUAGCCGGCCUGAGAGGGUGGACGGCCACAAGGGGACUGAGAUACGGCCCUUACUCCUACGGGAGGCAGCAGUGGGGAAUAUUGGACAAUGGGGGCAACCCUGAUCCAGCAAUGCUGUGUGCACGAAGAAGGUUUUCGGAUUGUAAAGUGCUUUCAGCAGGGAAGAAGUAAGUGACGGUACUGCAGAAGAAGCGACGGCUAAAUACGUG
RNAcentral lists this ribosomal RNA (462 nucleotides) under uncultured bacterium. RNAcentral describes it as "partial 16S ribosomal RNA". It matches the Rfam family "Bacterial small subunit ribosomal RNA", at positions 28 to 507 of the family's 1533-position model. The record is from RNAcentral.